Molecule: ribosomal RNA, 602 nt
Filed under: Hylarana eschatia
Lineage: Eukaryota; Metazoa; Chordata; Amphibia; Anura; Ranidae
Description: partial 16S ribosomal RNA
Rfam family: Archaeal large subunit ribosomal RNA (bases 347-594)
Source: RNAcentral
UUAUUUGAGACAGGAUACAACCUCACACACCGGGUAAGCAAAAGAACAGCAAAACCAAGUGGGCCUAAAAGCAGCCACCUUUAAGAAAGCGUUACAGCUCCACCCCCUUCAACCAAAAAUCAUUCCAACACUUUCUAACCCUUAACCCCUACUGAACCAUUUUAUAUUACUAUAAAAACUAUUAUGCUAGGACUAGUAACAAGAAUUUGCUUUUCUCCUUAAUAUAAACAUAAGCCAAAACGGACCAUCCAUUGGCAAUUAACGUUAGUGAACUAACUAUAAUAACGACCUUACUAGAAAACCCUAUAUUUUAUAACGUUAACCUUACACCAGAAUAUUUAAGGAAAGAUUAAAAGAAAAAGAAGGAACUCGGCAAACUUCAACCCCGCCUGUUUACCAAAAACAUCGCCUCUUGAUAAACAUAAGAGGUCCAGCCUGCCCAGUGACAAUGUUCAACGGCCGCGGUACCCUAACCGUGCAAAGGUAGCAUAAUCACUUGUUCUUUAAAUGAGGACUUGUAUCAAUGGCAUCACGAGGGUUGUACUGUCUCCUUUUUCCAAUCAGUGAAACUGAUCUCCCCGUGAAGAAGCUGGGAUUUUAAU